This 97-nucleotide transfer RNA is filed under the name Pleodorina starrii. RNAcentral's name for it is "tRNA-Glu". It matches the Rfam family "tRNA". From Rfam's summary of the family: Transfer RNA (tRNA) molecules are approximately 80 nucleotides in length. Their secondary structure includes four short double-helical elements and three loops (D, anti-codon, and T loops). Further hydrogen bonds mediate the characteristic L-shaped molecular structure. tRNAs have two regions of fundamental functional importance: the anti-codon, which is responsible for specific mRNA codon recognition, and the 3' end, to which the tRNAs corresponding amino acid is attached (by aminoacyl-tRNA synthetases). tRNAs cope with the degeneracy of the genetic code in two manners: having more than one tRNA (with a specific anti-codon) for a particular amino acid; and 'wobble' base-pairing, i.e. permitting non-standard base-pairing at the 3rd anti-codon position. Lineage: Eukaryota; Viridiplantae; Chlorophyta; Chlorophyceae; Chlamydomonadales; Volvocaceae. The record is from RNAcentral.
GCGGAGGUGGCGCAGUUGGUUAGCGCGUAGGGGUCUCAUAUACUCUGUAUGACUUGGGACAUCCUAAGGGUCGAGGGUUCGAACCCCUCUCUCCGCA